ACGGAAGGUCCAGGCGUUAUCCGGAUUUAUUGGGUUUAAAGGGAGCGUAGGCCGCAAGUCAAGCGUGUUGUGAAAUGCAGGGGCUCAACCUCUGGAUUGCAGCGCGAACUGGCAUGCUUGAGUACGCACGAGGUAGGCGGAAUUUGUGGUGUAGCGGUGAAAUGCUUAGAUAUCACGAAGAACUCCUAUUGCGAAGGUGGCUUACUGGAGGGAAACUGACGAUAGAGCACGAAAGUGCGGGUAUCGAACAG
Molecule: ribosomal RNA, 251 nt
Filed under: uncultured prokaryote
Description: partial 16S rRNA
Rfam family: Bacterial small subunit ribosomal RNA
Source: RNAcentral